Molecule: long non-coding RNA, 2996 nt
Organism: Pogona vitticeps (central bearded dragon)
Lineage: Eukaryota; Metazoa; Chordata; Lepidosauria; Squamata; Agamidae
Source: Ensembl
AUGAUAAGCAAGCCAAUUCUUGUGCUCAGUUUUGGUACGGCGGCUGUGAUGGAAAUGAUAAUCGAUUUAAUACUGAAGAAGAAUGUAAAAAGACUUGUGUGUUUUUCACUGGAGAUAUCUAAAGGAUAUGAACAGAAAUGUCCACCAACUGGAAAUCAUCAGAAAAUAAUUGUUUAGCCAAAAGAGGGGCAAUUUUAUGCAUGUGUGGCCUUUGUAUGUAUAACAUAAUUGGUUAACAAGAGAAUAAUUUGCUGUCCUAAAACCACUUAUUUUAGUAUAACUCUACUAAAGUCAACGGGAUCAUCUAUAACCCCUUGCUGAAACUGAAAGAUUGUGUGCAAUGUUAGGAGAUGUACUGGGGGAGGGUCUCACAUACUUUGUUGGGGUCUAAACUAAGAGGGCAUGCUUUUUACAUUGUAAAUCAAAACAGAAGGCAUGGGUCAUAUAAGCCUUCACAGCAGAGGAAAGAUCCUUUGACCAUUCUUGUGGGCCAAUAGAUAUUGUUGGAUAGAUACUGUUGGAGUUUUUGCAGUUUUGCAUGCUGCCUGCAGUUUGUUUGAGAGAGAUCUUUCUAGCCUGUGGUGAUUGUUGAUCUAUCCAACACUAGCCAAUCAUUCUCUCCUUUCUCAGAAUUCAAAGAAAGCCGCUUUGCUGUACUAAGAGUUCUUAUUCCUCAAAGAGUGUUAAUGCCUUUGAUGUUGGUUAGUAAAGUUUUCUGUAAGUCUAUUGAAACAGAGUUGUUAAAUGCAGUCAUGUUUGUUAGUUUUUUUGUUGAUAUAGUCACAAUUGUCAGUAAAUGAAAUUUUUAUUCUUUAUAUUACUAAUGUCUCAAAGUAAGUUGUUGAGACUGUAAGUGCCAGUUAAUGAGAGAGGGGUGGACUAUGUGAAAAACUGUAGCUAUUCUCUCUAAAUUGAUGCACUUCUGCUAUGUAUCUGAGUUAAACAACAUUUCAAAACUUUGUGUGAUACUGCAGCUCUUGUUUAUUGAAUGUGUUAAUUUUGAAACAUGCCUAGUUAAAAUCAAUUUACAGUGGUGCCUCACAUAGCGAUCGCUCCGUAUAGCAACGAAAUCGCUCAGCGACGCUGUUUUUGCGAUCGCAAAAACGAUCGCUUUGCGAUGUUCCCUAUGGGGAUAUUUCGCAUUGCGAUGAUCGCAGGGAAGCGAUCAUCGCAAAGCCCCCAUUUUCACCAAGCUGAUCAUGCGGUUUCAAAAUGGCCACCGGGUAAACAAAAUGGCCGCCCGCUGUUUUCAGGCACGGACGCCUCACUUUAGACGCACCAAAAAUGGCGGCUAUGGAGGAUCUUCACUUAAAGAUGAGUUUUAAGCCCAUAGGAACGAAUUAAUUGCGUUUUAAUGCGUUUCUAUGGGUUUUUUAUUUUUGCUUAGUGAUGUUAUUACUUAACAGUGAUUUUUUCUGCACAAAUUAACAUCGCUAAGCGAGGCACCACUGUACAGUGUUCCCAGAGCAGUGUGGGGUAGAGCUGGAGAUGGGGAGUUAGUUAUUAAAUAUAGGACCUAGUAAAUAUCUAAUGAAGUAAAAAAAUACUUCAAAAACUUAUUCCUAGAAGUUUAGGUUCUGGAUGAUUAGGGAGAAUUAAGAAGGUUAUAUAGCAAGGACUGCCAUCUGUGUCUGCAUUUGCAAGCUAAUGUUACUCAGGGAUAGAUAUUAGAUAUUUUAGACCAUAGAAAUGAGAUAGUGUUGACACAUAGGCUGUAAUCUUAUGCACACUUAGCUGGAAUAAGCCACAGGGGACACAAUGAAAGUUCUUUCUUAAUUAUGAAGUCUUGCAUAUAAUCUGACUGCAUGAUUUAAUCCAAAACAUAUAUUUGACACUAGCAAAUCACUUUUUGGCUCACCUGUUACCUUGGAAACUGAUUACUGCAUAACUUUGGGCAAAAAUAAUUUCUUUUUGCUGGUAUUUGAUUCCAUACUUCUGCAAUUAUGCCACCUGUUUUACUGAAGUAGAUAUUUUCCUUAUCUAAGGAUUACUGUUUUUCUAUAGGUUUACCAUAAUUUCUUUUCAAUAUUUGGCAAGCAGUAUGGGAUGAGACAUGAGUACAGGAAGCUAAUAUAGACAUUUUGUCAAAGACAGUAAAAUGGGAGAAACUACAUGUUAGAGAUGUCAUAACUGCAUCGUAAGCAUAAUUUUCAGUGAUAUGUAACUGUGAUAGAAUUCUAACCAUAAGAUAAGAAAUAAUUUUUUUCACACCUGAUGGAGAAAAUAUAUAUUGAUUAUGAGGGUCAUGCCACAAUAAGAGUGAUUCAGAACAUAAAUACAGUAGUUAGGGCUUCCACCCCAUACAUUUUAUUUAGUCUCCCAUGUAUUUCUCAUAGACAUGAUUAAUAAUAUCCUUUGAACAAAGGAUUAGAAUUGUAGUACAGUGGGGUCUUGACUUGAGAACUUAAUCCGUAUUGGAAGGCGGUUCUCAAGUCAAAAAGUCUGUAAGUCAAGUCUCCAUUGACCUACAGUGCAUUGAAAACGAUUAAUCCCGGGUAACAGGCCGUUUUUGUUCCAUUUUGGUUUUUUUCUGGUCUGUAAGUCAAAUCUCAGUCUGCAAGUCAAACCUAAAUUUUGCGGCCAGAGAAGUCUGUAACUCAAAAAGUCUGUAAGUCAAGCCGUCUGUAAGUCAAGGGUCCACUGUACAAUACAAAUGGAAUCUACUAUAAAUAUCAUGGUAGGAACAGAACAUUAGGUCACAGCUGGAAAUUAGGUGAAUUCUGAAAAAAAAGUUUAUUUUUAAAAACUAGAUUGAAGCUUUGUAGUUUUGUUUAAAAAAAACAGUCACAGGGUUGGUUUUCCUUUCUGUGCAGACAAUGGCAUCUGAUAAGAUGAAAUAUCUUGCUUUCAGGGUGUUGAUAUAUGUGCAGAAGGCUUUACUUAAUCAACUUUGUCACUGAACAUUAAUAUUGAAAAGUCAAUAGCAAAGAGUAAUUAUUUGCAAUUACCUGAAGGUUCCUGAAAUAAACAGUGUAUUAAUACAAGUGGUUUAGGCA